CGCCCGUACCCCAAACCGACUCAGGUGGUCAGGUAGAGAAUACUAAGGAGAUCGAGAGAAUCGUGGUUAAGGAACUCGGCAAAAUGCCCCCGUAACUUCGGGAGAAGGGGGGCCUGAGGCGUGUAGGGAUUUACUCCUGAAGCGUUUGAAGGCCGCAGAGACCAGUGGGAAGCGACUGUUUACUAAAAACACAGGUCCGUGCUAAGUCGCAAGACGAUGUAUACGGACUGACGCCUGCCCGGUGCUGGAAGGUUAAGAGGAACGGUUAGCACGCAAGUGCGAAGCUGAGAAUUUAAGCCCCAGUAAACGGCGGUGGUAACUAUAACCAUCCUAAGGUAGCGAAAUUCCUUGUCGGGUAAGUUCCGACCUGCACGAAUGGCGUAACGACUUCCCAGCUGUCUCAACCGCGAACUCGGCGAAAUUGCACUACGAGUAAAGAUGCUCGUUACGCGCAGCAGGACGGAAAGACCCCGUGACCUUUACUACAGCUUGGUAUUGGUGUUCGGUGUGGCUUGUGUAGGAUAGGUGGGAGACUGUGAAGCUCGGACGCUAGUUCGGGUGGAGUCAUUGUUGAAAUACC
RNAcentral lists this ribosomal RNA (580 nucleotides) under Clavibacter michiganensis. RNAcentral describes it as "partial 23S ribosomal RNA". It matches the Rfam family "Bacterial large subunit ribosomal RNA", at positions 1639 to 2201 of the family's 2925-position model. The record is from RNAcentral. Lineage: Bacteria; Bacillati; Actinomycetota; Actinomycetes; Micrococcales; Microbacteriaceae.